This 465-nucleotide long non-coding RNA is filed under the name Amborella trichopoda. RNAcentral's name for it is "long non-coding RNA (ATRI_LNC004254)". Lineage: Eukaryota; Viridiplantae; Streptophyta; Magnoliopsida; Amborellales; Amborellaceae. The record is from RNAcentral.
GCCCAUCCCCUAUCCCUUCUAUCCCUUCCAUGUAUGAGGAACUUGGCAUAAUACACUCACCCCCUGUCCCUUCAACGUGUAAGUAGUGCUCUCUUUUUUAAAGUUCACAGUAGUUAGUUGGCCCAUCCCCUAUCCCUUCCAUAUAUGUAAGGAACUUGGUAUAAUACACUCACCCGCUGUCCCUUCCAUGUGCCCCAUGUCAAAGUUGUGCUCUCUCCGUUUUUAAGUCCAAUAGUUGGUUGGCCCAUCUCCCUUAUCCCUUCCAUAUGUAAGGAAAUUUGGGCAUAAUACACUCACCCCCUAUCCCUUCCACGUGUAAGUAGUCCUCUCUCCUUUUUUAAGUCUAGUAGUUGGCUAGCCCGUUCCCUAUCCCCUUCCAUAUGCAAGGAACUUGGUAUAAUACACUCUCCUUCUUUUGGUCCUACUACACCUCAAAACGUUCCACGUGUAGAAAAGCCAUGUGCA